UUGGCAGAGGUAUUGCUCAGGACCCAGGAACUUGCAGUACAAUAGUUUAGAUUAGCGGUUUGCAAGAAGUUCGUCGAAUUUAAACGCUUUUCGUUGACCGCCAUAUUGAAUGUUCUCUCUAGUCUCAAAUUAUAUUUUCUGACCAGUAGGUGGUACAUUUGGAGCCCAAACCAUACACUCAAUGGGCUACCGGCAUUGCCAAAAGGCGCCCCUUUUAUACGAUCGUGCACAAACUCCAAUUAAAUUAAGACACAACAAAACGUCAUAUUUAUCACCAACAGCAUUACAGUUAAGGGCACUGCAGUUUGGUAGGCUACGUUUAAAUGCACCCGUGGUCCCUCCUCUAGCCUACUCCACCCAGAGCCAGGGACUUUCCAUCCAAUUGAUGGGAACUUCAGGUGCUUUUAAUUUUUUGUUCAGUGCAUUAUAAUCUCAAGUAAGAGUCUAUCGCUUAUGGGGACACAGUUGUCGUCAAGGAAUUGUGUUCCAAUGGCGGAAGUACCCGUAGGGUUACCUGAUAUGAAUAAGAGAUGCCCAUCUUGUACCUCCAUUCUUGCCCACAUCCUUGGAAAAGGAGACUCAAGUGAUAUGGCCCAGUGUCCGCAGUGCCCCUACGCACCAUGGCGAUGCUGGGCCUGCCUCUCCCCCUUGAAAAUCACCCCUUCAACUACCACAGGACGCUGCAUCAACCGUUCAUGCCAUCUGGUGAACACCCUUCUCACGUGUGACACAAUAACGGGUAACGCUUACCUUGAGGGCUGCCCGGUGUUCCGUGCCUGCCCAAAGUGUCGCUGCUUGCUCAUGCACUCAUCUGGGUGUAAAUUUGCAACUUGCCAGAGCUGCAAACACAAAUUCUGUUUCGUCUGCUUAGAGCCAACAAAUGAGUGCAGAAAAGAUAAUCAUCUGUACUUUUUGCCAUCCUGUUGUAGACCUAGAGCAAGCAGGCAGAUUUUCCACACGUGAGCGAUGCUGUUAUUGUUGCUCUGUGUCUGAUUUAGUUAAUUUAUUGACUAAAUACAGUUGGAAUGAUGCACUUAUGAUCCUUGAUUUUUGCUGUACUUUUCUAUAUGCACUUUUUGUAUGUCCCCUUGGAUAAAAGUAGACCUAUCUGUUCAUUUAAUCAACUGU
Molecule: long non-coding RNA, 1128 nt
Organism: Osmerus eperlanus (European smelt)
Lineage: Eukaryota; Metazoa; Chordata; Actinopteri; Osmeriformes; Osmeridae
Exons: 3
Source: RefSeq, a predicted model, not a curated record